This 468-nucleotide ribosomal RNA is filed under the name uncultured bacterium. Its description in RNAcentral is "partial 16S ribosomal RNA". It matches the Rfam family "Bacterial small subunit ribosomal RNA", at positions 28 to 507 of the family's 1533-position model. The record is from RNAcentral.
GACGAACGCUGGCGGCGUGCUUAACACAUGCAAGUCGAACGGAAAGGCCCUGCUCUUGUGGGGUGCUCGAGUGGCGAACGGGUGAGUAACACGUGAGUAACCUGCCCUUGACUUUGGGAUAACUUCAGGAAACUGGGGCUAAUACCGGAUAGGAGCUCCUGCUGCAUGGUGGGGGUUGGAAAGUUUCGGCGGUUGGGGAUGGACUCGCGGCUUAUCAGCUUGUUGGUGGGGUAGUGGCUUACCAAGGCUUUGACGGGUAGCCGGCCUGAGAGGGUGACCGGCCACAUUGGGACUGAGAGACGGCCCAGACUCCUACGGGAGGCAACAGUGGGGAAUAUUGCACAAUGGGCGGAAGCCUGAUGCAGCAACGCCGCGUGCGGGAUGACGGCCUUCGGGUUGUAAACCGCUUUCGCCUGUGACGAAGCGUGAGUGACGGUAAUGGGUAAAGAAGCACCGGCUAACUACGUG